RNAcentral lists this ribosomal RNA (467 nucleotides) under uncultured Alphaproteobacteria bacterium. Its description in RNAcentral is "bacterial SSU rRNA". It matches the Rfam family "Bacterial small subunit ribosomal RNA", at positions 9 to 524 of the family's 1533-position model. The record is from RNAcentral. Lineage: Bacteria; Pseudomonadati; Pseudomonadota; Alphaproteobacteria.
GAGUUUGAUCUUGGCUCAGAGCGAACGCUGGCGGCAGGCCUAACACAUGCAAGUCGAACGGCUCUUCGGAGCAGUGGCGGACGGGUGAGUAACGCGUGGGAACGUGCCCUUUGGUUCGGAACAACACAGGGAAACUUGUGCUAAUACCGGAUGUGCCCUUCGGGGGAAAGAUUUAUCGCCAUUGGAGCGGCCCGCGUUGGAUUAGGUAGUUGGUGGGGUAAAGGCCCACCAAGCCUACGAUCCAUAGCUGGUCUGAGAGGAUGAUCAGCCACACUGGGACUGAGACACGGCCCAGACUCCUACGGGAGGCAGCAGUGGGGAAUCUUGCGCAAUGGGCGAAAGCCUGACGCAGCCAUGCCGCGUGAAUGAUGAAGGUCUUAGGAUUGUAAAAUUCUUUCACCGGGGAAGAUAAUGACGGUACCCGGAGAAGAAGCCCCGGCUAACUUCGUGCCAGCCGCCGCCGUAAU